RNAcentral lists this ribosomal RNA (253 nucleotides) under uncultured bacterium. RNAcentral's name for it is "partial 16S ribosomal RNA". It matches the Rfam family "Bacterial small subunit ribosomal RNA", at positions 524 to 776 of the family's 1533-position model. The record is from RNAcentral.
UACGUAGGGGGCAAGCGUUGUCCGGAUUUAUUGGGCGUAAAGAGCGUGUAGGCGGCCUGACAGGUCUGCUGUGAAAACUCGAGGCUCAACCUCGAGAUGUCGGCGGAAACCGUCUGGCUAGAGUCCGGAAGAGGAGAGUGGAAUUCCUGGUGUAGCGGUGAAAUGCGCAGAUAUCAGGAGGAACACCGGUGGCGAAGGCGGGUCUCUGGGCCAUAACUGACGCUGAGGAGCGAAAGCGUGGGGAGCGAACAGG